GAUGAACGCUGGCGGCGUGCUUAACACAUGCAAGUCGAACGGAAAGGCCCAAGCUUGCUUGGGUGCUCGAGUGGCGAACGGGUGAGUAACACGUGGGUGAACUGCCCUGCACUUUGGGAUAAGCCUGGGAAACUGGGUCUAAUAUCGGAUAGGACAAUCGUAUAGUGUCGGUGGUGGAAAGAUUUUCGGUGUGGGGUGAGCUCGCGGCCUAUCGGCUUGUUGGUGGGGUAAUGGCUUACCAAGGCGUCGACGGGUAGCCGGCCUGAGAGGGUGUACGGCCACAUUGGGACUGAGGUACGGCCCAGACACCGACGGGAGGCAGCAGGGGGGAAGAUUGAACAAGGGGCGCAAGCCUGAUGCAGCGACGCUGCGUAGGGGAUGACGGCCUUCGGGUUGUAAACUCCUUGCGCCAAGGACGAAGCGUGUUGUGACGGUACUUAGAGAAGAAGCACCGGCUAACUACGUG
RNAcentral lists this ribosomal RNA (466 nucleotides) under uncultured bacterium. Its description in RNAcentral is "partial 16S ribosomal RNA". It matches the Rfam family "Bacterial small subunit ribosomal RNA", at positions 28 to 507 of the family's 1533-position model. The record is from RNAcentral.